UGCUGUCCUCCAUUAGGGCUUAUGGCACCAUUUCUCAUCAUAGAUACUCUAAACAGCUUUUACAACUCCCUCAUUUGUCGGCAUUUUUCUCUUAGGGACACAUUUCAUUUUCUUUCUUUCUAUGAUGCUUCCCCUUAUCUCCUUUCUUUUUUUCUCGUCCUCUUUUAUCGUCUCCCCUUUUUAUCUUUUUUUUUUUUACUUUCCUUUUAAGACAUUGAUAAGUAUCAAUUAUCUAUUGAAUCAGAUCACUCAAAUGAGUUAGAUAUUCAAAACAAAAAUCCUUUAUUUAAAUUAUAUUCAAAAUUAAAA
Molecule: long non-coding RNA, 309 nt
Filed under: Musa acuminata (dwarf banana)
Lineage: Eukaryota; Viridiplantae; Streptophyta; Magnoliopsida; Zingiberales; Musaceae
Description: long non-coding RNA (MACU_LNC004685)
Source: RNAcentral